This 1423-nucleotide ribosomal RNA is filed under the name human gut metagenome. Its description in RNAcentral is "bacterial LSU rRNA". It matches the Rfam family "Bacterial large subunit ribosomal RNA", at positions 884 to 2294 of the family's 2925-position model. The record is from RNAcentral.
GGGAAAAGAUUGCAGGCGGUAGAGCACUGAUCAGGAGAGGGACCUACCCGGUUACCAAACCCAGUCAAACUCCGAAUGGCUGCAAUCAUACCUGGGAGUCAGACUGCGACUAAUAAGGGCCGCAGUCAAAAGGGAAACAGCCCAGACCAUCAGCUAAGGUCCCCAAUGCCGUGCUAAGUGGCGAAGGAUGUGGCAUUUCAUAAACAACCAGGAUGUUGGCUCAGAAGCAGCCACCAUUUAAAGAGUGCGUAAUAGCUCACUGGUCGAGAGACGCUGCGCCGAAAAUGUCCGGGGCUCAAGCACGGAACCGAAGCUAUGGCAUGAUAGCAAUAUCAUGGGUAGGGGAGCGUUCUUAUAAGGAAGAAGCAUGACCGGAAGGACAUGUGGACAAAUAAGAAGUGAGAAUGCCGGUAUGAGUAUCGAAAAGAAAGGUGAGAAUCCUUUCCACCGAAAGCCCGAGGGUUCCUGAGCAACGAUCGUCGACUCAGGGUAAGUCGGGACCUAAGCCGAGGCGAGAAGCGUAGGCGAUGGACAACAGGUUGAAAUUCCUGUACCGGAUCAAGUCGAUCGAGCGAAGGAGCGACGCAGGAGGGCACAUGAUCGCGCGGGUGGAAGAGCGCGUCCAAGUGCGUAUGUUGCAGCAGAGGAAAACCCCUGCAGCUAAAAGCAGAGACAUGAUGGGGAGUUAAAGGAAACUUUGACGAACUCAUGGAUCCCACACUGCCAAGAAAAACUUCUAGCGAGACAAGAUCCGCCCGUACCGUAAACCGACACAGGUAGGCGGGGAGAGAAUCCUAAGGUGCGCGGGAAAACCCUCGUUAAGGAACUCGGCAAAUUGCAUCCGUAACCUAGGGAGAAGGAUGGCCCCCGGUCAGUGAAGAGCAGAAACGCUCAGAGCUAAAAGGGGCGGCAGAAAAGAGGCCCAAGCAACUGUUUACCAAAAACACAGGUGCCUGCGAAAGCGAAAGCUGAAGUAUAGGUGCUGACGCCUGCCCGGUGCCGGAAGGUUAAGGAGAGAAGUUAGCGAAAGCGAAGCAUCGAACUGAAGCCCCGGUGAACGGCGGCCGUAACUAUAACGGUCCUAAGGUAGCGAAAUUCCUUGUCGGGUAAGUUCCGACCCGCAUGAAAGGCGUAAUGAUUUGGGCACUGUCUCAACGAGGGGCCCGGUGAAAUUGAAAUACCUGUGAAGAUGCAGGUUACCCGCGACUGGACAGAAAGACCCCAUGGAGCUUCACUGCAGCUUGAGAUUGAAUCCCGGUGACAGAUGCACAGGAUAGGUGGGAGGCGCCGAAGCAUUGCCCUAGGGCGGUGCGGAGCCGAUGUUGGGAUACCACCCUUCUGUUGCUGAGAUUCUAACGCGAGGAGUAACGACCCUGCGGACCCUCUCAGGCAGGCGGUUUGACUGGGGCGGUCGCCUCCGAAA